RNAcentral lists this ribosomal RNA (501 nucleotides) under uncultured bacterium. RNAcentral describes it as "partial 16S ribosomal RNA". It matches the Rfam family "Bacterial small subunit ribosomal RNA", at positions 29 to 523 of the family's 1533-position model. The record is from RNAcentral.
AGUGAACGCUAGCGGUGCGCCUAACACAUGCAAGUCGAACGGUAGCAGGCCCGCAAGGGUGCUGACGAGUGGCGGACGGGUGAGUAAAGCGUAGGGAUCUGCCUAUGGGAGUGGGAUAACUUGGGGAAACUCAAGCUAAUACCGCGUAAAACUGAGAAGUCAAAGCAUGGGACCGCAAGGCCAUGCGCCUGUAGAUGAACCUACGUCAGAUUAGCUAGUUGGUGGGGUAAAGGCCUACCAAGGCGACGAUCUGUAGCUGUUCUGAGAGGAAGGACAGCCACACUGGGACUGAGACACGGCCCAGACUCCUACGGGAGGCAGCAGUGGGGAAUAUUGGACAAUGGGGGAAACCCUGAUCCAGCAAUGCCGCGUGUGUGAAGAAGGCCUGAGGGUUGUAAAGCACUUUCGGUGGGGAGGAAUGGUAUUGGUGCUAAUAGUACUAAUAUUUGACGUUACCCAAAUAAGAAGCACCGGCUAACUCUGUGCCAGCCGCCGCCGUAA